This 2145-nucleotide long non-coding RNA is filed under the name Zea mays. RNAcentral's name for it is "long non-coding RNA (ZMAY_LNC000424)". The record is from RNAcentral. Lineage: Eukaryota; Viridiplantae; Streptophyta; Magnoliopsida; Poales; Poaceae.
CUCAGUGUUAGGCGGCUCCUCUUCGACCACCUGCUCUUCUCCUGUGGGGGGGGGUGUGAGACAGCAAGAGUGAGCUCACAUACGUUCAUAGCUCAACAAGUCGUGGGGAAUAAUGUGGCAUGAACUCACCAAAGGUGGGAGUUCAUGUAGUGUAAGGCUAAUCAAUGGAAUAAAGGCUGAGGCUGAGCAUUGCUUUUAUAAGUUGGUCAAAAUUUUAUUAGCAAUUACUAAGUGUAAGUAAAUACCAAACCUUAAUAAUAAUAAAGAAAAGUAAUAGUAAAAUAAUCCCAAAUGCGAUGCAAAUGUCAAAUUGAAUUUAAGUUCCAUAAUUAAUCAUGUGAGGGUCCGAGCCGCUCUUGACCGUGAGCACGGCUAGUAUACUAGUUUUACACUCUGCAGAGGUUGCGCAUCUUUACCCACAAGUCGUGUAUCCCAUGUCGCCUGGGUUUGCAAGGCCCUUAGACACUACCGAGGUGAAUGGCUAGGGAUCCACUACGAGGCCUUUACAAAGUUCCACUAGCUUCCGAAAACCCGCUACAGUUUAUAGGAAGAUCCAGUACAGGGUUCCUGGCUGACAGCCAUCGCAGCAAAAUCAACCAGGGACCUCCCCGCACUGACCUCUCCCCUACUGCCCUUGCCCCUUUCGGGUAAGGUAGUCUUCCACUAGCUUUCCUAAUUAGUCAGCCAAGGGCGUCCCAUUAUACCCUUGUGGUAGCACUGUUUUCCCGGGUGGUCGCUCCAUGUUCCCAUUAAUUUAAUGAUCUUAACAUGAACAAUAAUAAUAACAAGUUAAUAACAGAAUAAUCAUGAAUAGUGUAUCUCCAUACCCAAUCCACAUAAAGCAAUAGCAAGUACUACCCAAAAAUAUUUCAGGGGUGAACAAGGUAUAGAGGUAAUCAAAACUGGGGUAACAUAAAGGCUCCCAUCAAAAUUAUCCUAUGCAGAUCAUUAAAAUUAAUAAGAACAUGGCUGGGAAAGUAAGUGAUCAAGGGCACAACUUGCCUGCAAUGAGCUCCUGCUCAGCUACUUCUACUUGUUGAAGCUCAGGUUCCACAGUGGGUUGCUCGUCUACUCGCAUCAACACAAUACAUACAUAGUAUAGCCAAAAUCAACAUCACACCAAACAGAUGAAUGAAAUAUACAGUAAAAAUCUACACAUUAAAAUGAAACCAUAGGAACUGGAAUCACUAAAUUUGGAGUUAUAGAUUUCAAGUUAUGAAUUUUCCUAAGGUUUAAUGUGAUUAAAAUGGGAUUAAAUGCUAAAUAAAUUUUCUUACUGUUUUCAUGGCAAAACAGAGACUCUAGUGUAUAGACAAUAAUGUUACAAAAAUUUAGAAACUGGAAUGGGCCAAUUUGGAGUUAAGAUGAAUUAAAUAUGAAUUAAACGAGUUUCUGAAAUUAUUUUUGUAUAGAAAAUAAACUUCUAUAAUUAAUUAUCGGUUUUCACUGCUCUCUGGAUCAUGCGUACUAAUACAGAAAAGCUCAGGGGCUAACUUAUAAAACUCGCCCAGACUCAGGUAACUGUUAUGGUGGACGGUGGGUUCUAUUUAAAACAAAUGGAGGGCUCAUUUAUAAAUCCGCAGAGCCGAAGGGGUAUGGCGGCCCAUCAGCCGUUUGAUCUAAAAUCUGCGCACCAGAUUAGACUCAUGCUAGUUACUCAUCCGCACUCUCCCCUGGCCGUUGGAUCCGAGAUCCACAGUUGCGAUUAGGCUUUUAAAAAAAACUGAACUGCUAUGUGAUUUGGGACCGACAGAUUUGAUCCGAGGCUCUAGAACAAGCACCCAGACGAAACAUUAUCUUUAGACCAAAUCAGACCGUCCGAUUAAAAUCUACUGGCCACAUGGUAUUUCUUCCACCUCUCUCUCUCUUUCAGCUACACCCAGGUCGGUCAUGGCUAUCGGGCCGUGAUGGAGCCAUUACUGGCCUCCCUCAAAUCUCCCUCAGUUACGCAAUUAUCGCCUGACAACAUGCUAAAUGGUGCGGAGAGCGCAGCGAGCAGCCCAUACCUGAACUGGAAAACAACGGCGACGACAGCACCAGAGUGUACGGUGUCGGAGUCCCUCCCCUGGCAACGAACAGGUCGCGCCAGUAGAGCUCCUCGCGUAUACGUAUACUCCUUCCCCAGGGGCUACGGUGAGACCCGCC